CAGUCGCCACGGGAAUACCGAGGUCUCAAGCGUUGUUCGGAUUCAUUGGGCGUAAAGGGUGCGUAGGUGGCGGUGUAAGUCUAACGUGAAAUCUCGGGGCUCAACCUCGAAAUUGCGUCGGAUACUGCAUUGCUAGAGGAUUGUAGAGGAGAGUGGAAUUCAUGGUGUAGCAGUGAAAUGCGUAGAUAUCAUGAGGAAGACCAGUUGCGAAGGCGACUCUCUGGGCAAUUCCUGACACUGAGGCACGAAGGCUAGGGGAGCAAACGGGAUUAGAUACCCCUGUAGUCCCUGUCUCUUAUAC
This 301-nucleotide ribosomal RNA is filed under the name uncultured bacterium. RNAcentral's name for it is "partial 16S ribosomal RNA". It matches the Rfam family "Bacterial small subunit ribosomal RNA", at positions 509 to 807 of the family's 1533-position model. The record is from RNAcentral.